ACGGGAGGCAGCAGUGGGGAAUAUUGCACAAUGGGGGAAACCCUGAUGCAGCGACGCCGUGUGAACGAUGAAGUAUUUCGGUAUGUAAAGUUCUAUCAGCAGGGAAGAUAAUGACGGUACCUGACUAAGAAGCACCGGCUAAAUACGUGCCAGCAGCCGCGGUAAUACGUAUGGUGCAAGCGUUAUCCGGAUUUACUGGGUGUAAAGGGCGCGUAGGCGGGAAGGCAAGUCAGGUGUGAAAUCUAUGGGCUUAACCCAUAAACUGCACUUGAAACUGUCUUUCUUGAGUGCUGGAGAGGUAGACGGAAUUCCUUGUGUAGCGGUGAAAUGCGUAGAUAUAAGGAAGAACACCAGUGGCGAAGGCGGUCUACUGGACAGUAACUGACGCUGAGGCGCGAAAGCGUGGGGAGCAAACAGGAUUAGAUACCCUGGUA
This 434-nucleotide ribosomal RNA is filed under the name uncultured Oscillospiraceae bacterium. Its description in RNAcentral is "bacterial SSU rRNA". It matches the Rfam family "Bacterial small subunit ribosomal RNA", at positions 341 to 792 of the family's 1533-position model. The record is from RNAcentral. Lineage: Bacteria; Bacillati; Bacillota; Clostridia; Eubacteriales; Oscillospiraceae.